RNAcentral lists this long non-coding RNA (4733 nucleotides) under Olea europaea subsp. europaea. The record is from RNAcentral. Lineage: Eukaryota; Viridiplantae; Streptophyta; Magnoliopsida; Lamiales; Oleaceae.
ACAUUGCUCCUUAUGUGUAACUCUUGGAAGGUUGAGUACCAAUAUUUUGUACAUAGAAGUGGGUGGUUGAUUUUCAAGUUUAAAGAUGAGGCAUCAAGGACUAGUGUGACACAGGAUGCUCCUUACUUUGUAUUCGGUAGACCGUUAAUGCUUAAAGUUAUGCCCCCGAUGUUUUGAAUUCGAUGAUAAAGAGGUAUGCACCAUUCCGGUAUGGGUGAAGUUACCAAGGCUUCCAUUUGAUUGUUGGAAUCCUAGGGCUUUGGCUAAAAUUGUAUCUAAGAUUGGGAAACCAAUUUCAAUGGACAAACUCGCUACUACUAAGGGCAGAAUCUCUUAUGCACGCGUGUUAGUGGAAAUUGAUGCCUCCAAGGAGUUUGUUCGGUUUGUGGCUAUGAACCUUCCAACGAGCAAAUUGAGAGUGCAAGAGGUUGAAUUUGAGCACGAACCCAAAUUUUAUGCAAAUUGUAAGAUGUUUGGACAUGCUAGUAUAACAUGUAAUGUCACAAACCAGCCUAUUAUACUGAGGCCGAGAGAGGCUGGGAAUUCGCCAAACACAGGAAAAUCGGCACAAGUUGCUGACAUUGCCUCGAAACAGGCAGUUUUGGAAGCACAGGCUAGUUCUAAUCAGAUAGGUGUGGUAAAGUAUAGCAAAAAGAGCAAGGUGGUGCGCCGUUUUCACGGGCUGUUGGUAAAAAGAAAGGUGCAAAAACUAUUUAUACAUCUUUCAGGCAGAUUGUAGACUAUUCAGCAGCUAAUGUUGGCAUUAACAUAUCAAGGACUGGAGCUCCUGCUAAUGUGUAGGAAAGGAUAUUGAUAAUAGUAGUGUUUAUUUGGAAAAACCAAAUAAUGAGAAAAUCAAAGGAAAGGAGGAUGAGAAGAGUAAGUUACCAAAUGCUAAGGUUAGAAAGAAGGGUAAUUCCCUUCCUUCAUCAUCAUGAAGUUUGGUACUUGGAACAUAAGGGGCUUGAACCGCCCCCUUAAGCAAAACGGGAUAAAAGUUUUAUGAAUUAACACUAUAUUGAUGUUAUGGGUAUAUUGGAAGCUAAGUUGGGGAUGUCGAAGCUAGACCGAAUCAUGCCGAAUAAAUUUGGCAACCUAUUGCAAAUCAACAACUUUCUGUCACACAGUGCUAGACAAAUUUUGGUGUUAUGGGACUCUUUAAAAGUUGACUUGGAAAUGUUGGAGAAUACGUCAGUCACAAGUCAUUCGCUGUAUUGUUACUUGUAAGGUAACAUCUCUUAAAUUUCUUGAUAGUUUUGUCUCUGGUCUUCAUACAAUUGUAAGUCGUAGAUCUCUUUGGGAUAAUAUCGCAAAGGUUAGAUUGGAUUGUUUUGUGCCUUGGCUGAUUAUGGGUGACUUCAACAAUGUACUCAAUUUUGAUGAGAGACGUAAUGGAGCCGAUGUGGCCCCAUAUGAGGUUAAAGACUUUAUUAAUUGUUGCCUCAAUGUAGGACUUACGGAUAUGAGAUCCAUUAGGUGUUUGUACACUUGGUCCAACAACUCUAUGUGGAGUACUCUUGAUAGAGCGAUGGUUAAUGAUGUUUGGAUGCAAAUAGAGUUUUCUAGUUUUGCAGAAUUCCUACCUUCGGGAUGCAUAUCUGACCAUUCACCUUGCAUUGUUUCUACUUUUGCAUAUGAUGAGCGCAAAAGAAAACCAUUUAGAUUCUUCAACAUGUGGACUAAACAUGAGAACUUUUAUGGUAUUGUGCUUAGUGUUUGGAAUCUUGGGAUUCGGGGAACUAAGCAAUUUUCUCCUUGCAAAAAAUUACAACGCCUUAAAGAAGUACUGAAAGAGCUUAAUGUCAAACAUUUUGGGGACAUAUCUACUAGAGCUGAGGUAACCACUAAAGUUUUAAAGGAAACCCAGCUGGUUUUACAUGAUGAUCCCACAAAUCCUCAUUUGCAAAAUGAGGUUGUACCUUUGAGGAAAGAAGCUAUGAAUCUUUGUGAAGCGGAGAGAAGUUUUUACUUCCAACAAGCAAAGUGUGCAUAUUGGAAAAAUAGUGAUAAAUGUACAAAGUCUUUUCACUCUAUGGUGAAGAGAAGUACCAAAAGAACCUUCAUUGCUGCUGUGCUAAAAAGGGAUGGCUCAUAUUCCUCAUCACAAAAAGAAGUGGCCGAUGAAUUCACUCAUGCUUUUAGUGAGUUACUAGGAAAAGAUAGCAUUGGACUACCUUUUGAAGCUAAAAUUCUAGAGUUUGGACCUUCUUUGACAGAGGAGCAUGCUACUUCAAUUGUUCAGGAUGUCUCUAGGCAAGAAAUAAAGGAUGCAUUGUUUAGCAUUGGUGAUAACAAGUCUCCAGGGAUGGAUGGUUAUACAUCUUAUUUCUUUAAAGAGGCUUGGAAUAGUGUUGGUGAUGAAUUUUUAGGAGCUAUUGGUGAGUUCUUUGCUUCUAGGUCCCUCCUUAAGCAAACAAAUCAUACCAUUAUUGCCUUGGUCCCUAAAGCGAAUCAUUCUUCAUCGGUGAAUAACUAUAGACCAAUCGCUUGUUGCAAUGUUUUCCAUAAAGUCACCACUAAGAUACUUGCCUCUCGGUUGGGUUCUACUCUUGAGUCCAUUAUUGAUAAAGCUCAAGCCGCUUUUGUGGUAGGUAGGAGCAUGACAAAGAAUAUCCACCUUGCUCAAGAGCUUUUGAGACAAUACAAUCAAAAGAGGGUUUCCCCGCGGUGCCUUCUUAAAAUUGAUUUAAAGAAGGCCUAUGACUCGAUGAAAUACGAUUUUCUCAAGAAUGUGCUUGAGGGAUUGAAGUGCCAUACUACUUUCAUUAUUUGGUUUAUGGAAUCUGUUACAUCACCUACGUACUCCAUUGCUCUCAAUGGUGGACUACAUGGUUUUUUUAAAGGAAAAAAAGGGGCUUCGGCUAGGUGACCUUCUUUGUCCUUUCUUAUUUGUCUUGUACCUUGAAUAUUUUUCUAGGAUGUUCAAGGGAGCUACCGAAAAUAGUGAAUUUAAUUUCCAUCCUAAAUGUGCUCCUCUAAAGAUUACGCACUUGGCUUUCGCAAAUGAUUUGAUGCUUUUUGCUAGAAGCGAUGCAACUUCGGUUAGUAUUUUGAUUAAUUGCUUUGCUAACUUUGGCAACAUGUCGGGGCUAAGGAUGAAUAUUGACAAGUCUAACUUGUACAUGGAGAGGGUUCAUGGCCAAAAGAUGGAGGAAAUUAUUGAGAUUGCUAACAUCCCCAGAGGUUCUAUGCCUUUAAGCUACUUGGGUAUUCCUCUUGCAAGGCAAAAGUUUGAAAAUCAACACUUAGGAUGCAUUUAUCAACAAAAUCACAGCUUAUAUUGGUGCUUGGUCUAGGGCAUCCUUAUCUUAUGUGGGAAGAAUGGAGCUUGUAAGGUUCGUGCUUCAAGGGGUUGUAUGUUUUUUGUUAUCCAUCUUUCCUAUUCCGACAACGGUUGCUUCUAGAGUCAUUUCUCUUUGUCGAAACUUUUUUUGGAGAUCUAAUAAACCAUUGGUUGCAUGGAGCAAUAUAUGCCUACCAAAGGAUGAAGGUGGACUUGGGCUUAGGGACAUCAAAAGUUGGAACUCCGCACUACUUGCGAAGACACUUUGGAAUAUUCAUUCUAAGAAAGACACCUUGUGUAUUAAAUGGGUUAAUCAAGUUUACCUUCGUGGGGUUGUAUUUGGACAUACAAGCCGAGGAAAGAGGACUCUCCUCUUUUCAAAAAACUGCUGGACAUUAGGGACAACGUUAAUCAGGCAGUAUACAAUGCCCAGGUGGCUGACAAAGAUCUGUCCAACUUGACAGGAUAUGGUAGACAGGUUGCUGUCCAGAAUCUGACCAGCUGGAUAGUUAAUGGCAGAUUCAAUAUUGCAUAUGCAUAUGAGUAUUUCAGGCCAAAAGGAACAAAGGUAAUCUGGGCUACUCCAUUUGGAAUGCAUAUGUGACACUGAAACAUGCUUUUAUCAUGUGGUUAGUAGCUAAAUCUACAUUGCUAACUAAUGACAGAUUGCAUUAUUUACAGAUCCAACUUGACAGGAAAUGGUAGAUAGGUUGCUGUCCAGAAUCUGAUUAGCUAGAUAGUUAAUGGCAGAUUCAAUAUUGCAUAUGCAUAUGAGUACUUCAGGCCGAAAGGAACAAAGGUAAUCUGGACUACCUCCAUUUGGAAUGCAUAUGUGACGCCAAAACACACUUUUAUCUUGUGAUUAACAGCUAAAUCUACAUUGCUAACUAAGGACAGAUUGCAUUAUUUACAGAUUGAUCAUAAGUGCAGCUUGUGUGAACUUAUGGAUGAGACUGUGGAGCACUUGUUCUUUGGAUAUACAUUUAGCCAAUCAGUUUGGGAUAAAAUCCGUGUGUGGGUCGGCAUUAGGAGAUCUAUGUCUAUACUUCCAAGUGUAAUGAAAUGGAUUAAAAAGGAAACUCGAGGUGCUUCUUGGCGUAGCAAGGCCAAACGUAUUGCACUUGUGACUACUAUUUAUCACAUUUGGACGGCAAGGAAUAAGAAGAUUUUUGAAGACCUUAUACCACAUGACCAUAGCAUUGUUCAACGAAUCAAAACACACGUAUACAAAGUUAUGUUUUCUUUGUAUCCGAAUGUUUAGGUUCAAUUUCAAUCCUUAGCUAUGGGGCUAUAGAUUGUAAUGGUGCACCAUUUUUUCUCCUUUGGUUUUACCCGGGAAAGCUUGGUAUAAUUGUAACUGUAAGUGCAUAUGGACUUGAUUUUGAGUUGUAAACCCGGGAAUGCCCGGUGUAUUUGUAUUUCAUUUUGAUCAAUAUUGAUUCACAUUUAC